RNAcentral lists this ribosomal RNA (253 nucleotides) under uncultured bacterium. Its description in RNAcentral is "partial 16S ribosomal RNA". It matches the Rfam family "Bacterial small subunit ribosomal RNA", at positions 524 to 776 of the family's 1533-position model. The record is from RNAcentral.
UACGAGUGGUGCAAGCGUCCUUCGGAAUCAUUGGGCGUAAAGGGUGUGUAGACGGCAUGUUAAGUCAAUUGUUAAAUUCUCCGGCCCAACCGGAGGUCAGCAGUAGAAACUGGCGUGCUCGAGGGUGGAAGAGAGAAGUGGAAUUCUCGGAGCAGCGGUAAAAUGCGUAGAUCUCGAGAGGAACACCAAUGGCGAAGGCAGCCACUUGGUCCAUUUCUGACGUUGAAACACGAAAGCGUGGGGAGCAAACAGG